GACAGAGCUGUGUGCCAUUCAUCCUUGCUGGUUCAGCUGCUCUUCUGCUUCUCCUCACUUUUCAGCCUCCCUGCCACCCGUUUUGUGACACCUCUCUGAUGCUCCUCUGCUAUGUCUCCUUUUAUAUAUGAUAGUUUUCCUCACUGUGAGCUAUAAAAUGUGAGCACAAGCUAUCAACCAAGAGGCCUCAUGGAUCCCAUCAAAACUUUGGUCUCUGUUUCCAGAAUAUUAGAAUGAAAUCAUUUAAAAUGUUUAUGAACAACAAUGUCAAACUCACCAAACGAGUCACUUGGUUAUGAUAUAAAAAUUUGUCCUUGACGGAGGAAGCAGCCAUAGAUGAACAGGGAAAUGGACAGGAGUUAUUUGAUCUGCAGCGUGUAAGGAUGGAUACGACACACAGAAAGAGCCUGAUGCUGUGUCUUCUCUCUCUGCCAUGAGCACCUGGAAAACAGCAGCGUGACACAAUCCAGGACAAGCCCCGACUCUACGAAGGACACCUUGAAGCCAGUCAUUCCAUCUAUCUCUCAUCUCAACUCAUCACUGUCCCCCAUCCCAGAGUGGGAUGUGAGAUGGAAACAGAUUACUAGCCUGGUCUCAGGUCAUGAAGCUAGCAAGCACUCAACCUGAAAG
Molecule: long non-coding RNA, 630 nt
Organism: Onychomys torridus (southern grasshopper mouse)
Lineage: Eukaryota; Metazoa; Chordata; Mammalia; Rodentia; Cricetidae
Exons: 3
Source: RefSeq, a predicted model, not a curated record